UAGUGGUGCUGGUGGACAGACCAGAAAGCCAUCAAUUACUUACACAUUUUUUUUAUCUAUUCAGAUUCGUUUGAAGGUAUGGAGACCAUCUGCCUUAUUCCGGCCAUGAGCAGCACUACUAAGAAAACAAGUCAGAAGUGGAAUCAUAAUUCUCUUCUCAUGCCAAGUUUGCCAGAGGCAUCCCGUGUCAUUUUGAACAGUCUGGACACAUGCAAAAUGGAUGACUAAUGGUCACAGUACAGGUUUUAUUCCAUUAGAUUAUGUCAUCGGUAGUUUCAGUAUUUUCCCUGGAGGACUUCUUCACUUCUUUAUAUUUAAAGGGUAUUUCUGCAUAAAUGAGCAUUUGUUAUUUUACAGGUUUGCAAGAUGCACCUUGCCUGACCAAGCAGAGCCUUCAAGGUCUGGUUGCUGGUCCCUACAGUCAGGAGUGCACUGGGGCCAACAUCACAGUGCCUAAAAUAUGGUUUACAGCCACACAUGAAUGAGCCCCAUGAGUGAGGGCUUGCCUUCAUCCAGAGGGAGGAAGCAGAGACAUACACGGGAGUGAUCUGAGUCCUUUCAGCCCAGCUGAGCUCCAGGGACACUGCCUCCUGUUCCUCACUUAUUGAGGUCUCCACGUGCAAAGAGGUCUCAUCUGCACGUCCCAUAUGCAAGUCUGGCUGUUUCCAGUGUUUUCUGUGAAUGUAAUCCCAACAAGUUGUUUUCAAACCUUGUCCUGGCAAUACAGACCUUGACACCUCAGCAGAAGCCCUUUCUAGAAGUGCAGAAAAUGAUCCUGAUAGAAUUAAACCAUGUUCUAUAUUUUCAGCCUGAGAAGAAUCUGUAAUUAGACCUGAGAUCACCAAAUGGGUAAAACUCUUCACGCCCAGAAGCGUAUGAGUGCAUUUACAAAGGGGUUAAUCUCCGUGCCAGCUGAGCUGUUUGCUGGGAAUCCUCUGACAGAUGCCUGAGGGACAUCAUGCCUCAUGUUUAUGCUCUCCCAUGAAUUGUUUUCCUCACUGUAAAUGUGAGAUUAUGUAAACCUCUGCCAUUGAUGACUGAUUGUGCCUCCUUUGGGAAUGCUUUUAAGGGUACACAAAGUACCCUUUCCCAAAGUUACCUAUAAUGAGUGAUACUUGGAAAGGGAAAGAACAUUUUCUUAC
Molecule: long non-coding RNA, 1142 nt
Filed under: Anser brachyrhynchus (Pink-footed goose)
Lineage: Eukaryota; Metazoa; Chordata; Aves; Anseriformes; Anatidae
Description: lncRNA (ENSABRG00000006987.1)
Source: RNAcentral